UUUACGGAGAAAGCUUUAUGCACCAUUGGAUGAGCCUGCACUUGAUUAGUUAGUUGGUAGGGUAAUGGCCUACCAAGACUUUGAUCAAUAGCUGAUUUGAGAGGAUGAUCAGCCACAUUGGGACUGAGACACGGCCCAAACUCCUACGGGAGGCAGCAGUGGGGAAUCUUGCACAAUGGAGGAAACUCUGAUGCAGCGAUGCCGCGUGAGUGAAGCAGGCCUUUGGGUUGUAAAGGUCUUUUGUCGGGGAAGAA
RNAcentral lists this ribosomal RNA (254 nucleotides) under uncultured Pseudomonadota bacterium. Its description in RNAcentral is "uncultured proteobacterium partial 16S ribosomal RNA". It matches the Rfam family "Bacterial small subunit ribosomal RNA", at positions 194 to 449 of the family's 1533-position model. Lineage: Bacteria; Pseudomonadati; Pseudomonadota. The record is from RNAcentral.